UACAACGCACUACCUGUUAUUAGUAAUAGUUGCUGUCAACAGCACACUGCGCACCAUCAACGCAGAGGACUACAUCUGCUACCCAGACUGCGCGUGGUCGUCCUUCGUUGUCUUCUUGGGGCCGCGUUCAGAGGACUUUUCGUAAAAGCCAAGGUUCACCAUGUGACUGCAGUCUGGUCCAAGCAGAGGGACCUAUCCUUAACCUAAUUUACCCGGCAUAAAAGGCCUGUCCACGGCUCGUCGCGUGUGCGUUGAAAGUCCCUCGGCCUGAGUGAGACGACAAGACGUAACAAGCCCGCGGCCAUACUGAUUGGCGGUACGCUGGUUGGCCUAUCCUUCCCGCAGUGCAACUUGGUCAACCUGUUGCUUGUAAGGGACCCGCUCGAGCUGGCCUUCAAGUAUCCGAGACCGACUCUGCCCGCGUACAUGACGCCUAUAGAGCCUCAGGUAGGGAAGUUCUACAACUCGCCUGUCGCCCUGGGUUCAGGUGCCGGUGCAGUGCUAACGGUACCCAUCGCUGCGUUGGGUGCAAAACUAAACACGUGG
Molecule: ribosomal RNA, 546 nt
Filed under: uncultured Nitrososphaerota archaeon
Lineage: Archaea; Thermoproteati; Nitrososphaerota
Description: uncultured thaumarchaeote partial 16S ribosomal RNA
Source: RNAcentral